This 460-nucleotide ribosomal RNA is filed under the name uncultured bacterium. Its description in RNAcentral is "partial 16S ribosomal RNA". It matches the Rfam family "Bacterial small subunit ribosomal RNA", at positions 338 to 795 of the family's 1533-position model. The record is from RNAcentral.
CCUACGGGUGGCAGCAGUGAGGAAUAUUGGUCAAUGGGCGCGAGCCUGAACCAGCCAAGUCGCGUGAGGGAAGACGGCCCUACGGGUUGUAAACCUCUUUUGCCGGGGAGCAACGGGCGCCACGUGUGGCGCCACGGAAAGUACCCGGAGAAAAAGAAUCGGCUAACUCCGUCCCAGCAGCCGCGGUAAUACGGAGGAUGCGAGGUUUAUCCGAUUUUAUUGGGUUUAAGGGGGGCGUAGGGGGAGGGUUAAGUCAGGGGUAAAAUUUAGGGGCCCAACCCGGUCUCGCCAUUGAAACUGGCGGUCUUGAGAGGAAGAGAAGUAUGCGGAAUGCGUGGUGUAGCGGUGAAAUGCAUAGAGAUCACGCAGAACCCCGAUUGCGAAGGCAGCAUGCCGGCUUCCUACUGACGCUGAAGCACGAAAGCGUGGGGAGCGAACAGGAUUAGAUACCCGGGUAGUC